UGGCAUCCUAAACUGCUUGUCUUUAACUUCUACUUAAUUGGUCCUCUAUCAUAUACGCCACGAAAAACAUUGGACCGAAGAAAAACAACACGUAAAACAUGAUCCAUUCUAGAAAUCCGGUCCUCAAAUAGUUUAGAAUAAAUGACGAUAUUUGAUUGGACCGUUGGGACGGUCGAGUUGGGGAGCUGGUGGCAAUACUGAGCUGAUUAUGAUUCGACAUUCCCGAGGCGCUUUGUGCCGCUGUUUCAGCACGUCACAAUCUCUGUCUGCCUCUGCCCCUUACUGUGUAAUUCUGUAUUUGAGCAGGAAGAUCAGAGUGAUUCCUCUUAUGGGUUGGAUUUAGAUUCCCAAUUGGAUGCAUAUAAAGUAGAGAAAAGUGAAAGGACGAAAGAGGGGGAGAAGAUAGGCAGAGCAAAGAUGUGGGUGAGUUUUCAGUCUUUGUUGGACUUGACGGUAGCAGGGAUUUCUUUGAUGCUUGGUUUGGGCUUUUUUGCUUUCAUUGCUUCAAUCCUUUGCUCUGCCGCUUUCUUCCAAAAUGCCAAGGAGCCUUCUUGAUUCGUCCUUUCAUAUUGGUUAUGAACUGUAAUAAUUGGAGGUUAUGCUUCCCAGGGCAGUCCAGUUUAUCUUCGAUGACCAAGCUGAAUUGGCACUUCAAGAAGUUGCGCUAUGCAAUGACAUCCUAGAAUAGUGCUUAUAAAUGAAGGAUUCAUAACCAACCCUAUAUAAUUUGUUGUAAUUUUUGUAACUGCAUAGGGAGAGAUUCCGCCUGGAUUUUUCUACUGCUGUAAUUCAUUACAUGCGUUUGCGGCAUAAGCAGACUCUGUACAUCUCUUCUAUGUAUGACAAAGCGUUGGGGAUAA
Molecule: long non-coding RNA, 860 nt
Organism: Coffea arabica (coffee)
Lineage: Eukaryota; Viridiplantae; Streptophyta; Magnoliopsida; Gentianales; Rubiaceae
Source: RefSeq, a predicted model, not a curated record